This 288-nucleotide long non-coding RNA is filed under the name Ananas comosus (pineapple). RNAcentral's name for it is "long non-coding RNA (ACOM_LNC023717)". Lineage: Eukaryota; Viridiplantae; Streptophyta; Magnoliopsida; Poales; Bromeliaceae. The record is from RNAcentral.
CUUUGGCACACUUCUUAAUUUUUUAAUACAAAUUAUUCCCGAAUUAUUGAAAAUCCGAAUUAAACGGUCGUUUACGAAUUUUUUUCAAGAAAAAAAAAUUAUUCACAAAUUUUUAGGCCAGUCGAAUAAUUUGCCAAUUAUUGAAAAUCUAAAUAAAAACUUAUAAUUUUUAUGUUUAAUUAUAGAUUAUUUUAUAUUUUAUACGGAAUCCGUUUUUUAAGCCGAAAUUUUCAACGAAUUUGAAAAUUAGAAAACAAAUUUUAUCUAUAUUAUACCCGUACCGAAUUU